CCUACGGGAGUCUGCAGUGAGGAAUAUUGGUCAAUGGCCGCAGGGCUGAACCAGCCAAGUCGCGUGAGGGAUGACGGUCCUAUGGAUUGUAAACCUCUUUUGUCAGGGAGCAAAGGGCGCCACGUGUGGCGCUUUGCGAGUACCUGAAGAAAAAGCAUCGGCUAACUCCGUGCCAGCAGCCGCGGUAAUACGGAGGAUGCGAGCGUUAUCCGGAUUUAUUGGGUUUAAAGGGUGCGCAGGCGGAAUGUCAAGUCAGCGGUAAAAUUUCGGGGCUCAACCCCGUCGUGCCGUUGAAACUGGCGUUCUUGAGUGAGCGAGAAGUAUGCGGAAUGCGUGGUGUAGCGGUGAAAUGCAUAGAUAUCACGCAGAACUCCGAUUGCGAAGGCAGCAUACCGGCGCUCAACUGACGCUCAUGCACGAAAGCGUGGGUAUCGAACAGGAUUAGAUACCCGAGUAGUC
Molecule: ribosomal RNA, 459 nt
Filed under: uncultured bacterium
Lineage: Bacteria
Description: partial 16S ribosomal RNA
Rfam family: Bacterial small subunit ribosomal RNA
Source: RNAcentral